CAGCAGCCGCGGUAAUACGAAGGGUGCAAGCGUUACUCGGAAUUACUGGGCGUAAAGCGUGCGUAGGUGGUUUUGUAAGACAGAGGUGAAAUCCCCGGGCUCAACCUGGGAACUGCCUUUGUGACUGCAAGGCUAGAGUACGGCAGAGGGGGAUGGAAUUCCGCGUGUAGCAGUGAAAUGCGUAGAUAUGCGGAGGAACACCGAUGGCGAAGGCAAUCCCCUGGGCCUGUACUGACGCUCAUGCACGAAAGCGUGGGGAGCAAACAGGAUUAGAUACCCCUGUAGUCCCUGUCUCUUAUAC
This 301-nucleotide ribosomal RNA is filed under the name uncultured bacterium. RNAcentral describes it as "partial 16S ribosomal RNA". It matches the Rfam family "Bacterial small subunit ribosomal RNA", at positions 509 to 807 of the family's 1533-position model. The record is from RNAcentral.